AUAUUGGUCAAUGGACGCAAGUCUGAACCAGCCAUGCCGCGUGCAGGAAGACGGCUCUAUGAGUUGUAAACUGCUUUUGUACGAGGGUAAAUGCAGGUACGUGUAUCUGUUUGAAAGUAUCGUACGAAUAAGGAUCGGCUAACUCCGUGCCAGCAGCCGCGGUAAUACGGAGGAUCCAAGCGUUAUCCGGAUUUAUUGGGUUUAAAGGGUGCGUAGGCGGUUUUAUAAGUUAGAGGUGAAAUCUCGGGGCUCAACUCCGAAAUUGCCUCUAAUACUGUAGGACUAGAGAGUAGUUGCGGUAGGCGGAAUGUAUGGUGUAGCGGUGAAAUGCUUAGAGAUCAUACAGAACACCGAUUGCGAAGGCAGCUUACCAAACUAUAUCUGACGUUGAGGCACGAAAGCGUGGGGAGCAAACAGG
RNAcentral lists this ribosomal RNA (418 nucleotides) under uncultured bacterium. RNAcentral describes it as "bacterial SSU rRNA". It matches the Rfam family "Bacterial small subunit ribosomal RNA", at positions 361 to 776 of the family's 1533-position model. The record is from RNAcentral.